UACGAGGGGGGCGAGCGUUGUUCGGAAUUAUUGGGCGUAAAGGGUGCGUAGGCGGCCUGACAAGUCUGAUGUGAAAUCCCUGGGCUCAACCCAGGGCCUGCAUCGGAAACUGUCGGGCUUGAGUAUGGGAGAGGUGAGUGGAAUUUCCGGUGUAGCGGUGAAAUGCGUAGAUAUCGGAAGGAACACCUGUGGCGAAAGCGGCUCACUGGACCAUUACUGACGCUGAGGCACGAAAGCUAGGGAGCGAACA
This 250-nucleotide ribosomal RNA is filed under the name uncultured bacterium. RNAcentral's name for it is "partial 16S ribosomal RNA". It matches the Rfam family "Bacterial small subunit ribosomal RNA", at positions 524 to 774 of the family's 1533-position model. The record is from RNAcentral.